Molecule: RNA transcript, 2316 nt
Organism: Coregonus clupeaformis (lake whitefish)
Lineage: Eukaryota; Metazoa; Chordata; Actinopteri; Salmoniformes; Salmonidae
Gene name: RNA-binding protein 4B
Exons: 7
Source: RefSeq, a predicted model, not a curated record
UUAAUAUCUUGUUUCGUCAUCGUUCAAGCGGUAAGGCUCUGCGUUGAAAUAAAUAUGGUGAAGAUCUUUAUUGGAAACCUCCCUAACGAGGUCGAAAAGGAUGAGAUCGAGGCGCUGUUUACUCAACAUGGCACAGUGACAGAAUGUGCAAAGUUCAAAAACUAUGCCUUCGUCCACAUGGAUGACCGUAAGUCUGCCACCAAAGCCAUCCGCAGCCUGCACCUCUUAAAGCUUCAUGGCAGGCCAAUCAAUGUGGAGCCAAGCAGGGGAAAGAACCAGGGUCCGGUGAAACUUCACGUGGCCAAUGUGGAGAAAGGCAACGAUGAUGAGCUCCGCACCUUGUUCGAGGAGUAUGGCACAGUCACAGAAUGUGCUAUUGUCAAAAACUUUGCUUUCGUCCACAUGUCCAACUCGGAUGAGGCCAAGGAUGCCAUAAAGGGAUUAGACAACUCUGACUUCCAAGGCAAACGUAUUCACGUUCAGAUGUCAAAAAGCCGUCCCAGAGGGGAGGAAGAGGAUUAUGGCCCCCCACCAGAUAGGUGUGCAUACUGGCCAGCACCUCGUGGCUACCCCGGGGACAGGGGGCAGCCUGAGCCCCCUCAUUACAGAGGUCGCAUGUCAGGGGGGUACCCUGGCCUCCCUCCACCACCACCUCCCCCUAGACGAGCUCCGUACCCCCCCGAGCGUGCCUAUGAGCGCGAGAGGGAAAGCUACGCGGUGGUGGAUUACUAUGAGAAGUACAGAGCUCGCCCUGCCCCUUAUGGUGGCCUCUCAGGCUAUGGAGAUGAGAGGCGCUUUGGCUCCAUACCCCCACCACCACCCCCUUCUGUCAUGGUUAGGGAGCGCCUUGCGGCCUCCUCACUCGACCCGUACGAGCGUCGCACCCUCCCACCUCUGUCCUACUACUCCCGUGACCGCAGUCCCAUCAGAAGACCCUCUCCUCCCCCCAUGCCACCCGCUGGUAACGGCUACUCAUAUGAGCGCUCCCGGCUCUCUCCUCUGUCCAGGCCCGCAAUGUACAACCUACCACGUACCAGGGACCCCUACGCUGACAGGGUCCCUCCACCGCCUCCUGCCCGCUACUCUUACUGAACACACACUGGUGUUUGACUCAAGGUUGUUAGAACCAUGAUCUGUGGAUAGGUGUUGUGGACACACUGUACUGUAGGAGACUGCUGUUCUGAGGUAAGUAAGCCUGGGUGUCUUAAACUGUCCAAUGAGGAUAUGUGGAGGUAAUGUUAAAUUAAUUGAUGUUCAUUUAUACAGAAGUAUGAUUUAUCAAAUAAAACAGUGGAUUAUGUGUUUUAAGAACAUUCUGCCAAUCCCCCACUCCCCCAUUUGAUGACAUACUUUGCCCAUGCUUAGUAUCUUUUUUGUAUCCUUUUCUGUCCAACUGAUCCCCAUCUUGUUUCUCCCAUCUUGUGUGCUUUCCUUGCACAGGAGGUUGGUACAGAAGUGGAAUUCUGCUCAAAGGCCACUGUCUUCUUUCCAGAGUUUGGUACAGAAGUGGACUUCUGCUCAUCUUGAUGCCCUGACACUGCUCUUCAGGGUUUUGUAUGCUGUGCCUGGGUGCUUCCAGGUCUGUCCUAUGCAGGCGUUGCAGUUGCUCAUCAUGGUUGUGCUAUGCACACACCCUCAAUGUGAGCACAAGAGAGGGGAUACCCAGUGAGGCCCUUCCCUGUGGGGUGGUUCCGAGACAUCUAGAGAGAUUACAAGGUUUCUCCAUUGUCCGGGGCCCAGAGGUCAUCAUACAAACAUGUCGGCAGGACUGUCCGACCUCUGCCUGUUGACAUCACAGCCUCCUUGGACACUGUGCUGCUGUGUCCCUCUGUCUCUGUGUACAGCCCUGUAUCUUGGGAACGAGAUGCACUGCCUCUAACCCAGCUGUACCUUCUCCAGAAGUACAGCUCCCACUCCCUGGAUCUCUCACAUGGGGGAAAGAGCUAUCUCAUCCACCAGGCCUCUCUGUCUGACUCUGGAGGCUACUGCUGUUUCCAGGAGGGGUGGCUGAGUGGGGGUUACCUCCUGCAGGUAGAUGAGCACGAGAGCUGUCAGGUCCAGGCCCAAACCCCGCUGGACCGUACCGGCCUCGGAGCUAGUGGCCAUGUCUCUCUUCUCCUUCUCUGCCUUCAUAGUUGUUCUGUGGCUGUUGACAUUUGCCAGGCAAGAGAGGAAGAGGGGUUGGAUAGUCGCCUAGGGAUAGGGGACCUCACCAAUAUGUCUUCACUGACUAUAAGUCCUUUCUUUUGAAGUUACUAUGGCCUAUUUAGAUUCAGGUUAGUAUACAAUGAAUAAAUAUGAUUGUGAGAAAAGAUA